GUCUUAAUUUUCUUUUCUGUUCGUACUCUUCAAACUUUUAGAAAUUUUGGUCCUCAAUGAUCUUCAACUUCGUACUUUAUUUGGCCUUUUUAAUUUUUUUGGAUUCGCGCGUCACUGAUGAGUCUUUUGUAGACGAAACGGGCCUCUGGCGUAUAUACAAAAUUUAGUCCCGGUAACUAUGAUCAGCUUAUUUCGUACUGAAUCAGAAAAUAUAACUUGUUUUUAUGUUUCUUGAAAAAAAAUGUUUUUAAACUUUUG
RNAcentral lists this long non-coding RNA (258 nucleotides) under Mytilus galloprovincialis (Mediterranean mussel). Lineage: Eukaryota; Metazoa; Mollusca; Bivalvia; Mytilida; Mytilidae. The record is from RNAcentral.